GAUGAACGCUGGCGGCGUGCCUAAUACAUGCAAGUCGAGCGAACAGAUGAGGAGCUUGCUCCUCUGACGUUAGCGGCGGACGGGUGAGUAACACGUGGAUAACCUACCUAUAAGACUGGGAUAACUUCGGGAAACCGGAGCUAAUACCGGAUAAUAUAUUGAACCGCAUGGUUCAAUAGUGGAAGACGGUUUUGCUGUCACUUAUAGAUGGAUCCGCGCCGCAUUAGCUAGUUGGUAAGGUAACGGCUUACCAAGGCAACGAUGCGUAGCCGACCUGAGAGGGUGAUCGGCCACACUGGAACUGAGACACGGUCCAGACUCCUACGGGAGGCAGCAGUAGGGAAUCUUCCGCAAUGGGCGGAAGCCUGACGGAGCAACGCCGCGUGAGUGAUGAAGGUCUUCGGAUCGUAAAACUCUGUUAUUAGGGAAGAACAAAUGUGUAAGUAACUAUGCACGUCUUGACGGUACCUAAUCAGAAAGCCACGGCUAACUACGUG
Molecule: ribosomal RNA, 497 nt
Filed under: uncultured bacterium
Lineage: Bacteria
Description: partial 16S ribosomal RNA
Rfam family: Bacterial small subunit ribosomal RNA
Source: RNAcentral